This 325-nucleotide ribosomal RNA is filed under the name uncultured bacterium. RNAcentral's name for it is "bacterial SSU rRNA". It matches the Rfam family "Bacterial small subunit ribosomal RNA", at positions 28 to 346 of the family's 1533-position model. The record is from RNAcentral.
GAUGAACGCUAGCUACAGGCUUAACACAUGCAAGUCGAGGGGCAGCGCAGUGUAGCAAUACAUGGGCGGCGACCGGCGCACGGGUGCGUAACGCGUAUCCAACCUUCCCGUUACUCAGGGAUAGCCUUCCGAAAGGGAGAUUAAUACCUGAUGGUGUUGAAAUUCCGCAUGUUAUUUCAACUAAAGAUUUAUCGGUAACGGAUGGGGAUGCGUGACAUUAGAUAGUAGGCGGGGUAACGGCCCACCUAGGUCUACGAUGGUUAGGGGUUCUGAGAGGAAGGUCCCCCCANACUGGAACUGAGACACGGUCCAGACUCCUACGGGA